This 1380-nucleotide long non-coding RNA is filed under the name Homo sapiens (human). RNAcentral's name for it is "HSALNT0174762". The record is from RNAcentral. Lineage: Eukaryota; Metazoa; Chordata; Mammalia; Primates; Hominidae.
GAUGCUGAGCGCUGAAAUUCUCAUCCGCCACACACAACAUGGCGGCUUCCUGGACCCGCGCCCAAUUUUCGCUUCCGGGAUGGAAGCUACGUCAUUUCCCCCUCUGUUGCCCUAGCGCCCCUUGGAAGCCAAGAAUAUGAGGAAGUCUUCUUCCUUCGCGCCUUCUUCUUCCUUACGCUCCAGGGCAGCCUGACAGAGCCGCUCGAAGGCUCUGCUGGCCGCGGCUAGCCGGUUUACCCAUUCCACUGGACCCAGCCACCACCCACUCCUGCUGUCUGGUAAACUUUCCUCCUGUUUCUGGGGCCAUGUCUGGCAUGAAGAGUUUUUACUGAAUAGUUUUCAUUGAUCGCAGGCCAGUUCUCUCUUCUCACCCCUUUAUUGAAGUGACAGUGAAAAUCUAAGUGAGAAAGCACUGUUACAGGGGCUGAAAAGGCUACAGGAGACCAGAGCCAUUGACUUUUAUUUUUAAAAUGAAGAUCUCUUUUACUUGAAGGAACUUAAGAAUUUUGGCAUUCAAAUAGGGGCUGGAAGACUUGAAAGCAGUAGAAAUUUCACCACAGGUGAUAGGAAAGGAUGAUCACGAAAUGAAUAUCUCCUGACUUGCACACCUAGUGAGCAGAGCCAGGAAGGACCUCCUUCACCUUAGCAUUUGGAACAGGCUGCAAAGUUCAUUCUUCCUCAUAGCAGCCCCUGCAUUCAGUUUGGUUUAGUUGUUUUAUGUGGUUUCUAGCCUGAUUUUUUUUUUCAGGGUGCAGCAGAAGUCUCAGGUAGCUGAGAAGUUCAUGGAAUCUUCUUAUUUGCUACACCUUUCACUACUGCUUGUGAUAUAGUGCAGGGUUGGGAUGUGCAGACAUUUCUCAAGUGCACUGUGUACCUACACAGCAUGCUGCAAUUUGGCUACUGAAGUCAAGAGAAACUGGUUUGAACAACUACUGAGUGUAACAUAGGAAGCGCAUUUCAUUUGAUAACAGGAACACAGCUUUUGUGCUAAUAAAAUGCUUUGAAAAUUUUCCCCUUCGCCAAUCAGCAGUUGCAAAAAGUCCUCCAGGAAAAGUCUGGAUGCCAGAAAGCCGUACCUGAGGGAGGCAGAAUUGCAUGGCAGUGGGCUACAUGGGCUCCAGAGUUGGCCAAUGUGUGGCCUCUAACAAGUAUCUUGCCUCCUCUAUGCCUCAGUUUCCUUCUCUGUAAAGUGUGGGUGAUGAUGUUUACUUUUUAGUUGUCAUGAAGGUGAGGGAUGAUGAUGCUUAGCACAGUGUCUGACACUUUACAGCAAGCGCCACGAUCCACUGUUGUCAUCGGGACUUUUGUCAUCCUCAGUGCUGCCACACGUUUGCCCUGGGUCCUUGAGCAAAUUGGCUCUUUUCUGUGGCCCCCUUGUUC